AAGUGGUGACACGUUGCGGCGGAGCGGAGUUUUGAAACAAACUGGAGCCUCCGUGUUUAUUAUUUUGUAGUUUUAUACAGUAUAGGUGACAUAUAUAAACACGUGGUUACACUACCGAUUAGUGCGGCCGGCCGGAAAGCAUAUUGACCACGUUGGGGUUCCGGUGAGAGAACAGACGGUCAUCAUUUGGACUCUUCCAACUUUAAUGGCUCCCAGGAUGGCGGCGGCGAUGAUGCCGAGGAAGAGGCCGAGCACGUUGAGGACCACGGAGGCCCACAGCAGGCGAUGGAGGUGGAUCACGUCCCAGCAGCUGCUCACCCCCGUGAACUCGAAGUACUUGGCGCGGUACUCCGUGCUGUGACGUCACGCACGGUCCGCAUGGAACUGGAGGGGGCGUGGCUUCCAGCUCCGGCUGAAAAUCGGGAGAUUUUCGGGAGAAUAUUUGUCCCGGGAGGUUUUCGGGAGAGGCGCUGAAUUUCGGGAGUCUCCCGGAAAAUUCGGGAGGGUUGGCAAGUAUGAGUGACCAUGUUAUGAAAAUGUAUUGCACUGUUUUUUUUUUAAUUUCAGUAUUGUUAUUUUUUUGCAUCCCCUGCCAUCCUACUACCCCCACCCCCUAAAUAAUGGGGGUAUAAAUGGAAAUAAAAUAGAAAAUAUUACAAACCCAGUUUCCAUAUGAGUUGGGAAAUUGUGUUAGAUGUAAAUAUAAACGGAAUACAAUGAUUUGCAAAUCAUUUUCAACCCAUAUUCAGUUGAAUAUGCUACAAAGACAACAUAUUUGAUGUUCAAACUGAUAAACUUUCUUUUUUUUUUGCAAAUAAUCAUUAACUUUGAAUGAAUUUGAUGCCAGCAACACGUGACAAAGAAGUUGGGAAAGGUGGCAAUAAAUACUGAUAAAGUUGAGUUCUGGG
Molecule: non-coding RNA, 908 nt
Organism: Nerophis lumbriciformis (worm pipefish)
Lineage: Eukaryota; Metazoa; Chordata; Actinopteri; Syngnathiformes; Syngnathidae
Source: RefSeq, a predicted model, not a curated record